Molecule: long non-coding RNA, 880 nt
Filed under: Salvia miltiorrhiza (redroot sage)
Lineage: Eukaryota; Viridiplantae; Streptophyta; Magnoliopsida; Lamiales; Lamiaceae
Description: long non-coding RNA (SMIL_LNC007112)
Source: RNAcentral
ACGAGAAUGGCUUGGCCCGUUGCUCACUCUCCUGAGAUAUGAUAAUUAUUAUUGUUUCAUCGGCAUUGUUGUGGUGGGACGAUUGUGGUGACUGGCGCGGUUCGUAGCAUGGUAUAGUAUUACUCUACCAUCUUGUCUGAGUAACUUUAGAUAUUAUUUUGGUAAUGAUGGAGAUUCUGAUGAAGGCCUGAUUUAUUGAGGCUUUUCUUUGAUUUAUUGUCAUUACUUUGUUUUCAGUUGGUAGAACUAUGUUAGUAACGAUUCGUGGUUAUUAAAUUUUUCACAGAUUGUUGUCUCGAUUUGGUUAAGCAGAAAAUAUUGAUUAAAAGGGGUUACUUGAUCAAUAUGUUGUUUUUCUUGACCAUGGGAUGUUGACAAGGCAACCAUACUUCAGCUACAACGUCGUUUCCGCCAGAACUACAGUGUAUUUCAUUGACAAUUAUUUGUUUGUGAUUUUAUUGCCAUAUUUUAUAUUGUGGACUCUGGAUACUUUUUGUAUUUGGUGCUUUUGUUAUUGAAUUUCCUGUCAAUUUCCAAUUUUCAUUUCUGCAGGACUAAUCUGUUGGCUCCAAAUUCGUCGAAAUGAUGACUCAGAAGCCAAAGCAUGCAUCACCACUCAGCUUGUUGUUGCCCCCUCUAUUCCAGCCCCUGCAAUCAUGACCUUUAAGUUCUUACAUGAAAGCUCAAUGGCCAAUGUUUGUAUUUUCAUGCAGUUUUUCUUUCUCCGUCAAAGCACUCGGCUCAUCAAUUGAAGUGAUAUCUCAUAUCUAGAUUUUUUGUCCAAUAUGUGGAACUUGUAUGAUUUUAAGGAAUGUAUUUUCAUGCAGUGGAACUGAAUGUUUUUGUUUUGAUUCGGGAUCUCUGAAAAUGGUCAAAUACU